AGUGAACGCUGGCGGCAGGCCUAAUACAUGCAAGUCGAACGGCAGCACAGCAGAGCUUGCUCUGUGGGUGGCGAGUGGCGGACGGGUGAGGAAUACAUGGGAAUCUGCCCAGUCGUGGGGGAUAACGUAGGGAAACUUACGCUAAUACCGCAUGCGCCCUUCGGGGAAAGCCGGGGACCUUCGGGCCUGGCGCGAUUGGAUGAGCCCAUGUCGGAUUAGCUAGUUGGCGGGGUAAUGGCCCACCAAGGCGACGAUCCGUAGCUGGUCUGAGAGGAUGAUCAGCCACACUGGAACUGAGACACGGUCCAGACUCCUACGGGAGGCAGCAGUAGGGAAUAUUGGACAAUGGGCGCAAGCCUGAUCCAGCCAUGCCGCGUGAGUGAAGAAGGCCCUCGGGUUGUAAAGCUCUUUUGUCCGGAAAGAAAAGCGCCGGGUUAAUACCCUGGUGUCCUGACGGUACCGGAAGAAUAAGCACCGGCUAACUUCGUGCCAGC
This 494-nucleotide ribosomal RNA is filed under the name uncultured bacterium. RNAcentral describes it as "bacterial SSU rRNA". It matches the Rfam family "Bacterial small subunit ribosomal RNA", at positions 29 to 512 of the family's 1533-position model. The record is from RNAcentral.